AGCUCAAGUUAAUAGAAUCGCAUUCGAGAUCGUUCCGGCAUGUGGAUAAGAUUGCCAACGUAUGCCCUUUCGUCCACUAACCAAAAAAAUUCUAAACAUUGGAGGAAGUUGGUCAUUGACAGCCUCAGCCUCAGCCUCUUCCUCUUAACCAAAAAAAAAAGAGAGAAAAGAAUACUUCUCUCACCUACAACGUUUCGCAUCUCUUCGAGCUCCCUCUUUUUCCCUUCGCUUGAGGUACCGUACAAACAAAGAUCGCAAAAACUUGGGAAUGAAAUGGCUUUGAGAGAUACUCUCCUCUGCCCGAAAUUUCGGACUCCGAAUCCAUUCCAUUCCGCCCGAAACAGCCGAAAUGCCAGCCGGAACCUUGUGGUGAGCGGCUGAGCGCUACCGCUGCCGCGCCCCGGACUCGUCGGCGGCGUCCCCAGAACGCGGAGGGAGAGUUCUUCGUUGAUCACCGGUGUAUUGAUUGCGAUGCCUGCCGUUGGAUGGCUCCGGAAAUCUUUACUCGGAUCGAUGAACAAUCUGCAGUGAUUAAGCAGCCGAGCUGCGAGGAGGAAAGGAUCAAGGCUCUGCAGGCACUGCUUUCCUGUCCAACGAGCUCCAUACAUACUGAGAAACCUACAAAGAAGAUUCUAGAAGUGCAGAAAAUGUUUCCUCUUCCAGUAGAUGAGCAGACACUUCCAGGUGUUUAUCAUUGCGGUUAUCAUUCUGAGUCAUCUUAUGGAGCAACUUCCUAUCUCGUCACUCACCCUGAUGGGAACAUAAUUGUUGAUAGCCCAAGAUUUAUGGAGAUAUUGGUACGUAACAUUGAGAAACUUGGAGGAGCACGCUACAUGUUUUUGACUCAUAAGGAUGAUGUAGGAGAUCAUGAAAAGUGGGCCAAGCGACUGAGGUGUGAAAGAAUUCUCCAUUCAGGAGAUGUGGAGGGCCAUACUGCAGAUGUGGAGAUGCAACUUUAUGGAGAUGGUCCAUGGAGCAUUGGUACUGAUUUCGACCUCAUCCACACUCCAGGCCAUACUGAAGGUUCAGUCUGCUUGUACUACAAGCCACUAAAGGUUCUGUUCACUGGAGAUCAUCUUGCCAAAUCUCGAGACACUGAACUGACUUUUCAUGAGAUAUAUAACAGGCAAUCCGUUAGCUUGCAACUCAAGAGCAUCAGGAAGUUAUUGGAGCUGGACUUUCAGUGGAUUCUACCUGGUGGGUAUUCUCCUCUUGUUAAGAAGUUCAGUUAGGGUCCUCGAAGGCAAUGAGGUCUUUCUAGAUUUCGUCAAAUUCUAACAUGUUCUUGGACAAGAAAUGUGGUCAUGGGCGGAGGAUAAAGUUUCGUGACAACCAAGAGAAGAAUUCAGUUUUGGAAGCUUUCUUGACCAGUAAAGAGCCAGAAUAUGCCUAACAGGAAAGGCUGCUUUUAUGGGGUUCGCAAGGGUAAUGUGAUCUGAUCUAUAUGGAAGGCAGAUAUGGGAAGAUGGCAUGCAAAGUUGCAAAGGCGGUCGAAGCUGUCAGAAUAAAGGCCUUUACCAGAAUAAGUCUUCAAAUACAUGUUGCAUGCAUGAACUACACACGAAACAUGUAUGUCAUAUGAAUCUCUCAGAAGUUUGGUUUUUCUUGCCGUGCGAAUUUUGAAAUUUUCGAUGCUCUGAACUGAAAGGCAAUCCAGCUAAACAAGAAACAGAACUUUCAAAUGAUGUACCAUAUGGUGCCAGUAAAUCUGUAUUGCUAAAUAUGUAUCCACAAAAUUAUGUGCGCAAGCAUGUCGCAAACUGAUUUGUUUCAAGGACUGAUAAUUUGUCUACCUUAA
Non-coding RNA from Phoenix dactylifera (date palm), 1798 nucleotides. Lineage: Eukaryota; Viridiplantae; Streptophyta; Magnoliopsida; Arecales; Arecaceae. The record is from RefSeq and is a predicted model, not a curated record.